Molecule: ribosomal RNA, 514 nt
Filed under: uncultured bacterium
Lineage: Bacteria
Description: bacterial SSU rRNA
Rfam family: Bacterial small subunit ribosomal RNA
Source: RNAcentral
GACGAACGCUGGCGGCGUGCCUAAUACAUGCAAGUCGAGCGGAGAAUUUGGAGCUUGCUCCAGAUUCUUAGCGGCGGACGGGUGAGUAACACGUGGGCAACCUGCCCUGCAGAUCGGGAUAACUCCGGGAAACCGGUGCUAAUACCGAAUAGUUUGUUUCACCUCCUGGUGAAACACGGAAAGACGGUUUCGGCUGUCACUGCAGGAUGGGCCCGCGGCGCAUUAGCUAGUUGGUGGGGUAACGGCCCACCAAGGCGACGAUGCGUAGCCGACCUGAGAGGGUGAUCGGCCACACUGGGACUGAGACACGGCCCAGACUCCUACGGGAGGCAGCAGUAGGGAAUCUUCCGCAAUGGACGAAAGUCUGACGGAGCAACGCCGCGUGAGUGACGAAGGUUUUCGGAUCGUAAAACUCUGUUGUGAGGGAAGAACAAGUACCAACUAACUACUGGUACCUUGACGGUACCUCACCAGAAAGCCACGGCUAACUACGUGCCAGCCGCCGCCGUAACAC